GCCAUGCAUGUCUAAGUAUAAAUUCUUGUACGAUGAAACUGCAGACGGCUCAUUACAACAGUGAUAAACUAAUAGACUUUCGGGUUUUACCUUUUGGAUAACCGCAGUAAAUCGGGGCUAAUACAUAGAAGCGAGGGGUGACUGAUUUAUCGGAAGCUCCGCGAUUAUUAGCAUUCAACCAAUACCCGCAAGGGUUCUGUUGGUGAAACCGAAUAAUAUUGCAGAUCGAAGAUUUAUCUUCGACAAGUCUACUGUGUCACUGCCCUAUCAACUUUCGAUGGUACGGUAUUGGCCUACCAUGGUUGUAACGGGUAACGGGGAAUUAGGGUUCGAUUCCGGAGAGGGAGCCUGAGAAAUGGCUACCACUUCUACGGAAGGCAGCAGGCGCGCAAAUUACUCAAUCCCAAUACGGGGAAGUAGUGACAAUAAAUAUCGAUGCCUAUCCAUUUAUGGAAGGGUAAUUGAAAUGAACACAAAUUAAAACUCUUAAUUAAUACAAUUGGAGGGCAAGUCUGGUGCCAGCAGCCGCGGUAAUUCCAGCUCCAAUAGCAUAUACUAAAGUUGUUGCAGUUAAAAAGCUCGUAGUUGAAGUUAAAGCUUUAUUUGGGUUAAAAAUCCAUUUGCCUUUUAACGGUUAAAUAGGAUUCCAGUAUUGCUUUUUUAAAGUUCAGUUUGUAUUGCCUUUGGUAGUAUUUAUUUGGACAUUUCACUGUGAGAAAAUUGUGGUGUUUAAAGCAGGCGUCUCUGUCUGAUCUUUUGCAGCAUGGUAUGAUGGAACAUGACAUUUUGCG
Molecule: ribosomal RNA, 791 nt
Filed under: Polysphondylium sp.
Lineage: Eukaryota; Evosea; Eumycetozoa; Dictyosteliales; Dictyosteliaceae
Description: SSU rRNA
Rfam family: Eukaryotic small subunit ribosomal RNA
Source: RNAcentral